Molecule: long non-coding RNA, 1558 nt
Organism: Pongo pygmaeus (Bornean orangutan)
Lineage: Eukaryota; Metazoa; Chordata; Mammalia; Primates; Hominidae
Exons: 6
Source: RefSeq, a predicted model, not a curated record
UUUUUUUUUUUUUUUUUUUUUGCAGAAUGUCCCUCAGUUUGGGUUUUGUCUGAUGUUUUCCUUAUGAUUAGACUGAGGCCAUGGGUUUUUGGGAGGAAGACCAGAGGUAAAAUGUUCUUUUCAUCACAUAUCAAGUGCACAUGCUAGCAACGUGACUUACCACUGAUGAUGUCAACCUUGCCCAGCUCUCUGAAGCAGUGUUAGUUACUGUGUUAGUAACUAUAAAUUACUUUCUACUCCUCUUUCCAUUCUCCUUUCUUUGGAAGUAAGUCACUAUCCCAAACCGCACUCAAGGUGUAGGGGUGGUAAGCUUUACCUCCUGGAGGGGGGAUUAUUGAUAUAAAUUAUUUGGAAUUCCUCUGUAAGGAAGAUUUGUCUCUUCUCCCUAUUUAUUCAUUCAGUCAUUUAAUUAUAUCAAUUAAUACUUUUUUAUAUUUUGGGUUAUAACCCAAUAUUGUUUAUUCUGUUGAUCAGAUUGUUCCAGCUUUGGCUGUUGGGAGUUCUUUUAGAUUGGUUCCUGUGUCCCUUUGACAUGUCCCCUGUCCCAAUGUUCUUGAAUCGGCCAUUUCUCCAAGGAGCCCUAGUUUUAUAUUGGAAAAUGGUAUUAGAAACCAAGAUAUGGGCACUGGAUGUGUACAUUGUUACUGGGGUGUCACUACUUCUUCGCCUUUCAGUGUACAGAUAUAUGGAUGUGAACCCAAGUUUAUAUAAAUAUCUGUAAUUAUUUAUCUGUUCAUCUCUAUGUUAAGCUAAAUAGGAGUUUAUACUAACUUCAGCUGAUUCAUUGCCUUCCCUCCUUGCUUAUCUGUAACUUCCCUCUCUGACUAUGAGAAACUUGGCAUCCAUCACCACCAUCCCAGUAACUACACUGUAAGCGUGGACUUUCUCCCUGUCCCCGUCACUAGGCUGUUAGUAUCUUAGACACUUAUUAAAUCUUUGUUGAUGAGUGAUGAAUCUUGAAGCUGUUAUGUAUCUUACCUAAUAAAAGUUUAGCAUUUUAGCAAAAGCAAUGUAAAUCAAUCUUGUAAAGUUUGAAACAAAACUUUUAACUGCUUUGUUAUGUAACAUGUAUUCAUUGUAGAAAAUAUGAAAAGUGAGAAGGAAAAAAAGCACCUGUUAUUCUAUCACCCAGAGAUAAUACUUAAUAUGUAGACUAUUGUGUCAAAGAAUGCACUGCAGUACCGGGGAAAUUCCCAGCAUGAUGCCCAGGAGUUUCUGCUGUGGCUUUUGGACCGAGUUCAUGAAGACCUCAACCAUUCAGUGAAGCAGAGUGGCCAGCCUCCUCUGAAGUAAGACACAUACUCUGUAGUUCACUGGAAUGAAUACACAAUCAUAAAGGAAACGUCCUUUUGUGCCUGAACACUCUAUUCUGUCAUAUGACUAUAUGCGUGUGGCUGACUCUCCCACCAAAUUGAGACAUCCUCAAGCCACCGUCAGAGACUGAUAUGAUGCCUGAGGGACCAUCUUUUCCUGUCUGUAGCACUUUUGUACAAGAACUCUUUCAAGCCCAAUAUAGAUCUUCUUUGACGUGUCCUCAUUGUCAGAAACAGAGCAACAC